UGAAUGUCUGGUCCACCGCUCCCCGGCUUCUUUCCCCGCUUUUGCUUUUCCCUUCCCCCGCUCCCGCCCUCCCGCCUCACGACCCGACCACCGCCCAGCUGGGCCCCCGCGGCUCCACUGCGCAGAAGGUGCACUGGAGGCCCUGCCCGUUGCCCGCCCCGCGGGGUGCCGAGAAGUCAACCUGAAUAAACGCCUUGUAAAAAGAACUUCCUAAUGGAAAAAAUAUCUUAUGAUUUCCAUUCUCAACGCUCUUCAGAGGACUAAAAGAUAAAGGCCACGAUGGAUUCAUUCAACAAGUCCUAAUCCUGCGCCCUGGUGUGUGCCAGACCCUGCUCCCCGCGAGGGGAUCCACGAGCGACCCUCACCAUUUUGGCACAACGGAAGCGUUAUAAUCUUCUAUUCAUUUCUGGCAAGAGUAUAAAUAAGUUCAAAAACUUUGGAAAAUUGUUUGCCUGUAUAUUCUAGUGGUAAAACACACAUACAUAUAUGCUAUGACCCAGAAAUUCAACUUUUCUACCCCAUAGACUUGUGCUUUCCAAUAUGAUAGCCACAAACCACGGGUAGCUAUUGAACACUUGAAAUCUUGCUAGUGUCACAUGGGGUAAUGAUAAUACCUUAAAUAUAUUUAGUUGAAUAUAUAUUAUAAAAAAUAAUUUCACCUCUUUCUUUUUACUUUUUAAAACAUGUCUACUAAUACAUUUAAAAGUACGUAUAUGCCUGGCAUUAUAUUUCUAUUGGAAUUUCUAUUUCUAGAGAAACGUGAAUAUGGUUUACCAAAGACAUGUAAAACAAAUACAUAUUUAUUCAAAAUAUUCCUAAACUAUAAAGAAUUCAAAUGUCUGAGGAAAGAAAAGAAAUUUUAUGUGAGGAAAGUGAGUGCUUUCAAAUUAACAAGCCCAGAGUUAGGCAUUAAAAUGAGACAGCAACAACGUCUUAUGUCCCUGUUUUGAAGCCGUGUAUUCAUCUAUUAAAACAGCUUGCUAUCAUCACAAGUGGCUAUAAAGCAACCUAAACAUGCUGCACUGGACACCAUCUCUCACUCCCUGUAGCUGAACAAUGUAUAGCUAAUCAUUAAUCAAUGUUAUUUCUGUAAACUUCAGGGAGUUCCUGACAGGCAAUUUUGUACCAGCCAACUCCCCGUCUCCCUUUUUGGUCUUUAGAAAC
This 1164-nucleotide long non-coding RNA is filed under the name Homo sapiens (human). RNAcentral's name for it is "non-protein coding lnc-GPR89B-10:1". The record is from RNAcentral. Lineage: Eukaryota; Metazoa; Chordata; Mammalia; Primates; Hominidae.